UACGUAGGGUGCGAGCGUUAAUCGGAAUUACUGGGCGUAAGGCGUGCGCAGGCGGUUUUGUAAGCCAGAUGUGAAAUCCCCGGGCUUAACCUGGGAAUGGCAUUUGGGACUGCAAGGCUGGAGUGCGGCAGAGGAGACUGGAAUUCCUGGUGUAGCAGUGAAAUGCGUAGAUAUCAGGAGGAAUACCGAUGGCGAAGGCAGGUCUCUGGGCUGACACUGACGCUCAUGCACGAAAGCGUGGGGAGCAAACAGG
This 253-nucleotide ribosomal RNA is filed under the name uncultured bacterium. RNAcentral describes it as "partial 16S ribosomal RNA". It matches the Rfam family "Bacterial small subunit ribosomal RNA", at positions 524 to 776 of the family's 1533-position model. The record is from RNAcentral.